GCGGUCUGCUGUGGGCACUGGGGGCAUAGCGGUCUUGAAAACCGUCGUGGCAGCGAUGUCACCGUGGGUUCAAAUCCCACACCCACCGCA
Molecule: transfer RNA, 90 nt
Filed under: Streptomyces sp. ISL-1
Lineage: Bacteria; Bacillati; Actinomycetota; Actinomycetes; Kitasatosporales; Streptomycetaceae
Also listed under: 1 other name
Description: tRNA-Ser
Source: RNAcentral